RNAcentral lists this ribosomal RNA (529 nucleotides) under Schwanniomyces etchellsii. Its description in RNAcentral is "LSU rRNA". It matches the Rfam family "Eukaryotic large subunit ribosomal RNA", at positions 62 to 596 of the family's 3401-position model. The record is from RNAcentral. Lineage: Eukaryota; Fungi; Ascomycota; Pichiomycetes; Serinales; Debaryomycetaceae.
AAACCAACAGGGAUUGCCUUAGUAACGGCGAGUGAAGCGGCAAAAGCUCAAAUUUGAAAUCUGGCACCUUCGGUGUCCGAGUUGUAAUUUGUAGAAGGUAACUUUGGAAUUGGCUCUUGUCUAUGUUCCUUGGAACAGGACGUCACAGAGGGUGAGAAUCCCGUGCGAUGAGGUGCCCAAUUCUAUGUAAAGUGCUUUCGAAGAGUCGAGUUGUUUGGGAAUGCAGCUCUAAGUGGGUGGUAAAUUCCAUCUAAAGCUAAAUAUUGGCGAGAGACCGAUAGCGAACAAGUACAGUGAUGGAAAGAUGAAAAGAACUUUGAAAAGAGAGUGAAAAAGUACGUGAAAUUGUUGAAAGGGAAGGGCUUGAGAUCAGACUUGGUAUUUUGCGUUCCUUCCCCUCGUGGGUUGGUUCCUCGCAGCUUACCGGGCCAGCAUCGGUUUGGAUGGUAGGAUAAUGACAUUGGAAUGUGACACUACUUCGGUGGUGUGUUAUAGCCUUUGUUGAUACUGCCUGUCUAGACCGAGGACU